GACGAACGCUGGCGGCGUGCUUAACACAUGCAAGUCGAACGGAAAGGCCCUGCUUUUGUGGGGUGCUCGCGUGGCGAACGGGUGAGUAACACGUGAGUAACCUGCCCUUGACUUUGGGAUAACUUCAGGAAACUGGGGCUAAUACCGGAUAGGAGCUCCUGCUGCAUGGUGGGGGUUGGAAAGUUUCGGCGGUUGGGGAUGGACUCGCGGCUUAUCAGCUUGUUGGUUGGGUAGUGGCUUACCAAGGCUUUGACGGGUAGCCGGCCUGAGAGGGUGACCGGCCACAUUGGGACUGAGAUACGGCCCAGACUCCUACGGGAGGCAGCAGUGGGGAAUAUUGCACAAUGGGCGGAAGCCUGAUGCAGCAACGCCGCGUGCGGGAUGACGGCCUUCGGGUUGUAAACCGCUUUCGCCUGUGACGAAGCGUGAGUGACGGUAAUGGGUAAAGAAGCACCGGCUAACUACGUG
Molecule: ribosomal RNA, 468 nt
Filed under: uncultured bacterium
Lineage: Bacteria
Description: partial 16S ribosomal RNA
Rfam family: Bacterial small subunit ribosomal RNA
Source: RNAcentral